This 63-nucleotide transfer RNA is filed under the name Dipodomys ordii (Ord's kangaroo rat). It matches the Rfam family "tRNA", at positions 1 to 62 of the family's 71-position model. Rfam says of the family: Transfer RNA (tRNA) molecules are approximately 80 nucleotides in length. The record is from Rfam by way of RNAcentral. Lineage: Eukaryota; Metazoa; Chordata; Mammalia; Rodentia; Heteromyidae.
GGGAAUGUGGCUUAGUGGUAGAGUGCUUGCCUAGUAUGCAUGAAUCCCUGGGUUCCAUUCCUC